UACGUAGGGGGCUAGCGUUGUCCGGAAUCAUUGGGCGUAAAGAGCGUGUAGGCGGCCCGGUAAGUCCGCUGUGAAAGUCGGGGGCUCAACCCUCGAAAGCCGGUGGAUACUGUCGGGCUUGAGUGCGGAAGAGGCGAGUGGAAUUCCUGGUGUAGCGGUGAAAUGCGCAGAUAUCAGGAGGAACACCGAUUGCGAAGGCAGCUCGCUGGACUGCAACUGACGCUGAGGAACGAAAGCUAGGGGAGCAAACAGG
This 253-nucleotide ribosomal RNA is filed under the name uncultured bacterium. RNAcentral describes it as "partial 16S ribosomal RNA". It matches the Rfam family "Bacterial small subunit ribosomal RNA", at positions 524 to 776 of the family's 1533-position model. The record is from RNAcentral.